UACAGAGGGUGCGAGCGUUGUCCGGAAUCACUGGGCGUAAAGGGCGCGUAGGUGGCGGCCCAAGUCCAUGGUGAAAGCUCGAUGCUCAACAUCGAGUCGGCCACGGAUACUGGGUUGCUCGAGCACUGUAGGGGCAGAUGGAAUUCCGGGUGUAGCGGUGGAAUGCGUAGAGAUCCGGAAGAACACCGGUGGCGAAGGCGGGUCUCUGGGCAGUAACUGACGCUGAGGAGCGAAAGCGUGGGGAGCGAACAGG
This 253-nucleotide ribosomal RNA is filed under the name uncultured bacterium. RNAcentral's name for it is "partial 16S ribosomal RNA". It matches the Rfam family "Bacterial small subunit ribosomal RNA", at positions 524 to 776 of the family's 1533-position model. The record is from RNAcentral.